Molecule: ribosomal RNA, 254 nt
Filed under: uncultured bacterium
Lineage: Bacteria
Description: partial 16S ribosomal RNA
Rfam family: Bacterial small subunit ribosomal RNA
Source: RNAcentral
UACGGGGGGAGCAAGCGUUGUUCGGAUUUACUGGGCGUAAAGGGCGGGUAGGCGGCCACCGCAAGUCAGUUGUGAAAUCUCCGGGCUUAACCCGGAAAGGUCAACUGAUACUGCGGGGCUAGAGUGCAGAAGGGGCAACUGGAAUUCUCGGUGUAGCGGUGAAAUGCGUAGAUAUCGAGAGGAACACCGGUGGCGAAGGCGGCGAUCUGGGUAGAUACUGACGCUGAGGUGCGAAAGCGUGGGGAGCAAACAGG